AUUCAAUCCAGGCACAAGAAAACUCCAGUGAGCUCCACCACUGAACCAAAUAUCUAUGAAGAGAUGGAGAUGCGGGAGAGACAUCCUGGGCUCGAAGUCCCUUCAUGAUAUUUUUAUAGUACUUUGGAGUCUGAUCCUGAUUACACCAACAUCUCACCUUUGAACAGAGAAACUGCAACAUGUGGCAGAAGUUCUGAGUAGCAUGCAGCUUUAUGUUUACCUGUGCAGAAAUUGCCAAGAGGGGACUUCAGUGACAUCAACCU
Acanthopagrus latus (yellowfin seabream) is the source of this 263-nucleotide long non-coding RNA. RefSeq lists it as uncharacterized. The transcript is spliced from 3 exons. The record is from RefSeq and is a predicted model, not a curated record. NCBI's taxonomy places the organism in Eukaryota, Metazoa, Chordata, Actinopteri, Spariformes, Sparidae.